GAACGAUGAAACUUUACUGACUUCUUCGGAAAGAUUUAAAGCGGAUUAGUGGCGGACGGGUGAGUAACACGUGAGUAACCUGCCUUACACAAGGGGAUAGCCGUUGGAAACGACGAAUAAUACCCUAUGAAACUAUCACUUCGCAUGAAGCGAUAGUCAAAGUGUUAGCGGUGUAAGAUGGACUUGCGUCUGAUUAGCUAGUUGGUGAGAAAAAAGCCCACCAAGGCAACGAUCAGUAGCCGGUUUGAGAGAGUGUACGGCCACAUUGGGACUGAGACACGGCCCAGACUCCUACGGGAGGCAGCAGUGGGGAAUUUUGCACAAUGGGGGAAACCCUGAUGCAGCGACGCCGCGUGAUUUAGAAGGCCUUCGGGUUGUAAAAAUCUUUUGUAUAGGAAGAAAAUGACAGUACUAUACGAAUAAGGUCCGGCUAAUUACGUGCCAGCAGCCGCGGUAAUACGUAAGGACCGAGCGUUGUCCGGAAUCAUUGGGCGUAAAGGGUACGUAGGCGGGUCAUUAAGUUAGAAGUCAAAGGCUAUAGCUCAACUAUAGUAAGCUUCUAAAACUGGAGACCUUGAGUAAUGGAAGGGAAAGUGGAAUUCCUAGUGUAGCGGUGGAAUGCGCAGAUAUUAGGAGGAAUACCGGUGGCGAAGGCGACUUUCUG
RNAcentral lists this ribosomal RNA (664 nucleotides) under uncultured Eubacteriales bacterium. RNAcentral describes it as "bacterial SSU rRNA". It matches the Rfam family "Bacterial small subunit ribosomal RNA", at positions 64 to 731 of the family's 1533-position model. Lineage: Bacteria; Bacillati; Bacillota; Clostridia; Eubacteriales. The record is from RNAcentral.